This is a long non-coding RNA of Oncorhynchus tshawytscha (Chinook salmon), 309 nucleotides long. The record is from Ensembl. Lineage: Eukaryota; Metazoa; Chordata; Actinopteri; Salmoniformes; Salmonidae.
AUGUACAUGAAGGCAAGGUAAAGUGACUAGACAUCAGGAUAGAUAAUAAUAAGGUAUUUGAGGUAGAUAUGUACAUGAAGGCAAGGUAAAGUGACUAGACAUCAGGAUAGAUAAUAAUAAGGUAUUUGAGGUAGAUAUGUACAUGAAGGCAGGGUGAAGUGACUAGACAUUAGGAUAGAUAAUAAUGAGGUAUUUGAGGUAGAUAUGUACAUGAAGGCAGGGUGAAGUGACUAGACAUCAGGAUAGAUAAUAAUAAGGUAUUUGAGGUAGAUAUGUACAUGAAGGCAGGGUGAAGUGACUAGACAUUAG